UAUAACAUUUUAAACUUAAAUGGAAGAAGAGUAAUGAAUUUGGUUUAUUUAAAAAAAAAAGAGCUAUAUUUCUUUUAGAAAUAUGUGAAGCCCCAUUUUGCCCACUUUGUAACUAUUUGCUUAAAAGAAGUUUGUUUAUGGACACGUACUUUGAGAAUAACCAUGUCCUAAUUUUUUUCUUCAUCAUCAUAAACAUUUAGCCUGGAUUUAGUUUUGCUUCCCAAUAACUAUUAGUUUUUAUAGCAGUGUAAGUGCAAUGCUAUAUCAGAUGUAAAAAAAAAUUAUAAAAACUUUAAAGACAAAUGAACAUACUACAAAAAUAGUGAGAUAAGUCCUUGAGUUCAGAAAGAAACACAAAUCCAGUUUAGGAAGUCUCCUUUCUUAAGUACUUAAAAUAUUUCUCCUCCAGAAACUGUAUUUGUCCCAGUGAUGUAAAUUUUCCAUCAUGGUUGACACAGUAUCUGUAAACACCUCACUAAAUGCAAAAUGGAGUUUACAUUUACGUGCAUACCAGUGGGAAGAGAAGUAAACUAUUAUCAUUUGCAUUUAGGUAUGUUGUUUAAAUGUCCCCAAAUGAAAGUCGAGAAAGAAUUUGUUUUCACUCAGCAAUGUACAUCACUUGGCAAGGAAGCUAGUGUUAACAUUAGGUUUAGGUUUAACAUUUACAGCCGUGGAAUGUUUAUGGAUAUUGUGGAAAACUUAUUUAAAAAUCUUGAUUUCUUUUCAGCACAUUUACAUAUUCUGUGCUGAUUAAUAAAUUAGACACCAAUCAUGUGUAAAUCAAUGUAAAUGCCUAGUUUAUGUACAUAAUAAAAACUAUGUAAACUUCAUUUUUCAUGCAGGGCCCAAGUUCAGCUAAACCUGUAAAUCUUAAAGAAAAAAAUUCAAAUAAAAAUAAAGAACCAAAGUAUUGCACAGGUCAAAAUGGAAAGAAGUAGGACUAAAGGCUGUGUAAGGUUGCCUCAGCCAAAGGAAGCAGUCCCUCAGCUAUACUUUCAGUUUCACAACCUGCUCAAGUCACAAGUGCACUUUGAUCCUUCAGGACUUGAGUGGAAAUUCUCCCAAAUUUUGCCUGUCCCAAAACAAGGGGAAUAAAGAGAUAGAGAGGAAUAGUUUGAAGGCUCUGUACCUGUUGUAUCAGCUACCAGGUGUCUUGUUAUUUCUUCCUCACCAUCUAAGACAUCUCAUUUAAAUAGCUGGAAGGAAGUUACCUACACCCUGAUGAGGAAAACAUUACUCGGCUUUUGUUUUCCACUCAACAAAAGCAUUGGGAAAGCUUGUCAUCUUCAUUCUAAUAAAUUGUGGGAUAUAAGAAAUAUGUUAUAUCCUUGAGAAUUAUCUUGCUGUGUUACCUUAGAAAACAAUUUAAAGUAAAAGCAAAGAAAGUAGUUUUUACUUGAUUUGUGUUUAUACCGAAUUUUACAAAUCAAGGACAGAAUCAUUUCAAUUGGAAGAACCUUGAGCAUGAUGUCUUAGAGUCUUUUUGAAGUGCCUGUUGUGUUUAACACAUAUAUCAAAUGUCACCAACUGAAACUCAAGAAAGAAUUUGUUUUCAUUCCAGCAAUCUAUAUCUCUGUAUCUCUGUAUCUCUUUUCUUUCAGCAAGGAAGAUGUAUUUAUUUCCCUAUUAUCUGAACAACUGGUACAGAGUCAUCAAAGACAUGACUUUCAAGGAUGGAUGUUUUACAAAGACUGUUCUAGAAAGAAAUUCAGGUCACAUUAACAUGAGACUUAAAAUUGUGCUCCUUCAUCUAAGAUAAAGACACUUUAAAGUGAAGUGGAAGUUGUAUUUGACUGGAAGUCAUGAAAACUUGAUUGUAAUCCUUCCCCUGGACACAACAUCUAUAUGACAUUGGCAAACCACUUAAACUUCCUGAUUCUUGGUUUCCUCAUCCUGAAAGUGAGGAAUUUGGAUGACAUUUUUUUAACCUCUUUCACGUCUUAACUCUCUGAUUCUAAAUAAGAAGUGAAUGUUCACUUAGUACUGUGCCUGCCUCAUUAUCGAAAGCAGCUCUUUGUCAUCUCUAGUUUGUUUUCAGAAUCAUCAUUCUAUCAUCUCUAUUUCAAAAGCUGAAACUUCCUAGAAUACAGGGCCUUUGGACUGAUUCUAUAAUUCUCUUCUACAAAAACUUACUAGCAAUGCAGAAAAAGGGGCACCCUGAGAUUAUACUGAGGUUAUUGAAAUAGCUGGGGUUAUUUUUUGUUCAUAAUAUUAUAAAAUCUAACUCUUGAACUAACUCCGAAUAACCUUUCAUAGGAAGGAAAAUAGCCAGAUUGGGCAUUAAGCUUGUAAAAAAUGAGGAAGUUGUGCAUAUGAAAGGAAACAGUUUUUUCUCAUCCAGGGCUGACUGCCUCAUUCUAGUAAAUGUGUGUCCUUGGCUUGAGCUAAUGGCUAUAUCAUGUGGUCCCAGGCAAGUUCAAAUGGGUAAUCUGUGAGAAACAGGCAAGACAAUAUAUUUUGUUUGAGAGAGAUAUAUUUCCUUGACUUAUAGGGUAUGAAAUCAAGCAAAUAAAUGUACAAUAAAACAGGCUUCAAUUUUUUUCAAGAGUCUAACUCUAUAAUAUUUGAAUAAGUGGAAAAUAUGACAAAUAUACAUUUUAGGUGAUGACAGUUGCACACUAAGAAUUAUUGUGAAAGCCAAAAUGAAAUGUGAAAGUUAAGUUCUCUGAGAAGAGUUUUAAGCAAGAAAGAUGAUUUCUGAAGUAGUUAAUGAGGAAUUAUUUUCUUCUGCCUUGCUCUGGAUGGACUGAGGACAAGUCCACUCUCUUAGAGGCUCAUCUUAGCGUUUGUCCAAUUUCCUUUAUUGCCUCAAAGGACAGAAGGAAUGUGAGAGUCCCAGACACUGAAGAGCAGAGUAUUUAUAAUUUCCCAGCUUUAGCAUUACUCUGUGUAAUAAGGGUAAACAAAGGGCUCAGAGUACUUAUGAAGCCCUUUUUGAGUGAGUGAGGACCUGUCUACUGAAAAACUCACACUUCCAUGUUGUUUCAGAGGUACUUGUUUUAGGCGGUGCUCCCGAAUCUACUCCUACAGCUACUUCUCUGCAAAAGCCUUCUCUCUGUAAAACCAGUCACAGUAAAUACCUGCUUCUUCGCAAAUGAAGAAAACACAAGGAACUACUAGCUUCAUGGCACGCAGCAGCAAUCCUAAGCUACCAAGGAGCCUUUUCUAAACCCACUUUGCUAAGUCUUUGCUCUUCACCAGGAAAUGUAAAAGACUUGUCCUGGUGAAUCGUGGGCAGGUUCUGCUCUCUAAGUAUUUACCGGGAGGGGGAGGCUCGAGGGAGGACGUGACUGGGGAGGGAAGCAGGGGAGAACAGCUCCUACCUCUUACCCACCACCGCUUUGCCCACCUUCUCACUGCUCAACAGAAGGUGUACAAAUCCUGCUCCUGGUUAGAAUUCUCCGUAUUAACAGUGUUAUAUACGUAUAAAUAUAUAUAUAAAUACACUCCUUUUUUUAGCCCUGUAGACAUGAACUGAUCUUCCCUUGAUGAUAUAAAUUCAUGGCCAUUAUUUGGGUUGGUUUUUCUGUUGCACAACGUAUUUUGUUUUUCUUUAUUGGGUGGAUUUUUUUGCCCCCUGGGUCCUAGCUCUGUGAAGGAAAAUAAAAAGCGCAGUGUGUGUACAAAGAAAAAUAAAAUUAAGAAAAGCUUAUUUUCUUUUCCCUUUAAAUGUAUUUAAAUUCUGUUUCUCUCUUCUGUUAUUUUACACGUAUGAAUGCUCUGCUCUUCUGUGAUCUUAAAACAAAAUGAAAUAAAUGUGAAA
Molecule: long non-coding RNA, 3763 nt
Filed under: Heterocephalus glaber (naked mole-rat)
Lineage: Eukaryota; Metazoa; Chordata; Mammalia; Rodentia; Bathyergidae
Description: lncRNA (ENSHGLG00100036025.1)
Source: RNAcentral